This 3776-nucleotide long non-coding RNA is filed under the name Venturia canescens. Its description in RNAcentral is "uncharacterized LOC122408053, transcript variant X4". Lineage: Eukaryota; Metazoa; Arthropoda; Insecta; Hymenoptera; Ichneumonidae. The record is from RNAcentral.
GAAAGAGAGGGUGAGUGCAAGGAGGAGAUAUUAGUAGGUGAAGCACAAAGCGCAACAACCGAAAUGAGGAGACAAAGAGAGCGAAAGAGAGCGAGAAAGAAGCUCUUCGUCGCUGGCCAACUGGUCCCAGGAACAAAGAAAUGGGCUAUCGGACAGCGGAUCAAAAGCAGAGCGGCUCGAUAUUCACAAUCGGAGAAAAUCGAAGAAAAUACGAAGCUGCGUUCGCGAGCAUCGGGAUGAGCAACAAAUUAUUGGUGCGCGAGGCUCGUGGGUAUGAAAAAUCGGCGAGAGAUCCACCGAGACGAGGAUUCGUGAAGUCUACCAAAGAAUCUUGGCAGAGAAAAACCAAGAAAGAUUGCAGAAGCGACUGCGUGCGGUGCAUUUUAUCCCAUCGAAGCCAAUUCCCUCUCUCUCUCCAUCACGUGAAAAAUUGCAGCCUUUUUGCUUCCCGGAGAACGAGAAUUUGAAAACGACGAGCUCCAAGAGUCCACGCGCAGACUGACCAUUUUAUGGAAAGGUGGUAUUUAGUACCGACGAAAUAAUGCAAUUAUCAAAUUAACCCUCACACCGAUCUCCACUCGAGCUACGUCGUGUGUGUUCGUACGUUUACGCGGGCACACGUAUUCCUCGCUGCACACCAUUUCCACAUGCAAAAAUGAAAAUAUACACGCACGCAAUUUCUUUAUACACAGGGACGUGCGUGUGUAGACGCGAAACGAGAACGGUGCGGGCGAGAGGACCAACGAGUACGACUCUUUCCCUCGCUUUAAGUGGAUAAUUAUUGGGAUGUAGAGGGGGGCGUCCCUUUACCGGGUUGCGAUCUACGAGAGGUCAAGCGGUCAGUAUUCGGCGAUGUUCGCCGCCACGAAUUUGGAGCGUUCGAUAUCGCCCCAACGCUUGGCCCUGGCCACCUCCUUUAUCUCGUCGCUUCGCACGGGGCGACUAAUGUGAGCUUGCCAACGAAACUGAAGCUGGACGAUCAGUCGCUAAGAAAAAAGAAGAAAAAGCUAACCAACAAGCAGAAAAGGAGAAGUCGAGCCAAAUACGAAGGAUGAAAACGAGGAGGCUGGGAGCUUCGGAGGAAGAAGACGGAAGAAGGAGGAGAGAACCCUCUGGGACUCCGUGGGAAGACUCUCGACUUUGUGAACGAGAACCUGAUGUGAGAUCACGUACACGUACCCGAACACAGAUUCGUCGAGUCGUUCUCGGAGUCGAUUCCAAGGGAAAUGUUUGACGAGCGAUGCGAGUGGAGAAUAAUCAAAGUCGUCUCUAGGGAUGGUUGUAAUACCCUCGUUCUCUGGGGAUGAAGCAGUCGUUCGUGGGGUUAGAACUGUGCGAGACGACCACGAGAGGCGAUUGAGAAGCAUUUCGCAUACCAUUUGAACAGUUUUGGAGUCCAUUUUACUUUUUUAACGACUUGAAACCUACUUACACGAGGCCCGAGAUAUUUUUCGAGUUCGUACAUGCCUCCUAAAAAACUAAAAAUAAUGUUUUUCAAGACUACAUUGUUGAGCCACGGUUACGAUCGGUUCUGCAGCCUGAGAGUUUCACUGUGAUCGUUAUGGACGUUGCGAUCGAACAAUUAGAAAAGCGAUCGAGGGAAGGGAACUGAGAAGCAGCCCCCUACGUUUUGGAGUUCUAGAGCCGAAAGAAGUUGUCCCAACACUCGAAACACCGGCUCUCUUCGAUGACGCGUUUCUCGAGUGCAUAUUGGAAUAAUAACGCACGACCCUACAUUCUCCGAGCUACAUGGGUCUCUGGAAUAACAAUCGUUUUUGGCCAUUAUCUCGAGACAGAAACUAAUAUGUGUUCAAGUUAAUUGGCGGGGCGUUUGAAACCUUCACUCGAUAAAACGAUCGUCGAAUCGUCAUUGUAAUUUAGCAGAUUUCGAUGGAAGACCGAACCCGAAAUCGGAGACGUCGAGUCAUUCGGAAGUUUUUAUACCGAGAAUUGUGCGUCGGAAAUUUUGAUGACAAAUGAAUGGGAGUUUCGGAGGAAUUUUUUGCGAGAAGCAGCGUGAAAACCAACAAACAUCGAUAGAAGUUUGCUUAUUUAACUUAGAAUGGCCAAUGCAUUCUGCCACGUGAAGAAGAAUGAUUUUGCAGAAAAACGCGAAAGAGAACGAAUCGACGGGUGCGGUUCGAUGAUCGUUGACUGGAAAAUUGAGAACUCGUUGCGGAUCAUCUCAGUGUGGAUCGCUCGAGAAAAAGAGCUCCGAUGCAAGAUCUGUCGGUUGUUUUAGUUUCUAUGUGUUUUUAGAAUUUCGUGCCGCACAUUAAAACGUGUCUGUAACCCCGACAAUGCUGCAUAUUAAAGGAGCGAAGAAUUUCAAGAUUUCGGUCCUUCUCGGUGGCGAGCCUGGUGAACAAUGUUUCCACGUUUGUAUAUGGCAACGAAACUGGGGCGUUGGAUAUUUCUUUUAAACUUUGGAGCGCGCACGAUAAAUUCCAUAUUCCUAUCUUCGUCUCGUGGGACGCGAAAGGACGAGAAAAUUCGUGCGUGCGAGCAGGUUCACGUAAUAUUUAUGAAGAAGAAGGCCGAGAGGACCCGAAAAACGGACUGAUGGGCGUCGACGAUCGCGAGAAAGCCUUCCUCGAGUCUUCCAAAAGUAGCUCUUCACCCUCUAUCAUUCUCUCCCUUCUCUUUCUCUCAUGAAACGCGCAUUAUACGCGCGCGAGAGAGAAAUUGAGAUGUCCGGCGGUCCCUCACGGAGAUCGGAGAUGCUGGCCCAUAUAUACAGAUACAUAAAUGCAUGUCUAUGAGUCCUGGGUGCGAUGAUUAAUGCAGACCAAUAUCCGUGGGUGGCCCCCCGAAAAAGAGCCCGUAGAGACUCCGAUGACUCUCGCUGAAAAUCAUCUCAAUUCCAAAUUUAUUGUCCUUAGCAGCGGGGAACGAAAAACGUGUGUGCACUCAUCGCCGUGUCAUCGAGAUUUUACGGAAAUAAAAAAUAAAAACCUGGAGGAGUGAAUGACGGACGAUUUCACUGUGUUUUUGUGCAGGUUUCGCGGCGUGAGAUCGGGCUUGUGUCGAGCCUCCGAACUCUGAAUCCUUUUUUUGAAAUCCGUGAAAAGGAUUCGACGAAAAGAUCGACGGAGCAUCAGAGAAACUAUAAAACUCUGCGGCGAACGGGAAGAAACUUUAAAACUCACAUGAGUUCGGUAAGAACUAUUUUCGAGCAGGAAAUUUAGCGUCGAUUUUAACUUGCGUGAAGAUGAAAAAAUUUGAAUUCACUCAUCAUCCACUUUCUCGACGAAGAGCAGUUUGCAAGCACUUUGAAAUAAUUAUAACUGCGCGGUUGAUAAACGAAAUUGCGAUGAGGGAAUUCGCAGCUCGAAAACAUUCAUAUUUCUACGCAUAAGUGUGCUCUGCGAAGAAAGUGUUUAUGGGAGGAUGCGAAAAAUGCAAGAAAGAAAAGAAGAAGCUGCGAGGAGGGCCGCGCGUGUGAGCAAGCCUCGGAAAACAAGACGGUACGUCAGGAAGGUGCUAUCCGAGAGACAGAUAUUGAGGAAGAGGCGUUACGCUCAUUAUUACGCACGCUGCAGUUCUUCUUCGGUUUAAUAUUCACCGGCCACAAAUCAAGCAACACUUUAAUGCGUUUAAGCUCGAAGGCUCCGCGCAUUCUGCUGCCCUCUCCGCUGUACUCUCCUUGAUGACGAUCCUCGCGCGUACUUACCUCGCUAAACGUUUUACACCCUGAAAGCAAAAGUUCUCAACCAUCGGAAUACAACAUAAAAUUGCUUUGUUUACGACCCCGUUUCCGGAAAAAUACAAAUUUU